GCCUGUUCGAAGGCAAAAUAUCUGCCUCUAUCUAAAAUACUCCCUUACACCAGUUAUUCAGUUGACAGACUCUGCAGAAGUUACCUUUAGUAUUUAUCAUUAUAGUUCUGGUCUUACAUUAAACAUUGAAUAGCUUGAAUAACCUAUUUGCCACUAGUCAUUAAGAAAGCCAUAAUAAGUGUUUUAAAACCCAGGUUCACACCGUAUCUAUUUCUUAGGACUUUAGCAUUUGAUUAAUUUUCCGCUUAAAAAUAACAGAAAAACUACCUCAUCAUCUCAAGUAUUUUUUGUUUAAC
RNAcentral lists this long non-coding RNA (296 nucleotides) under Mytilus galloprovincialis (Mediterranean mussel). The record is from RNAcentral. Lineage: Eukaryota; Metazoa; Mollusca; Bivalvia; Mytilida; Mytilidae.